AGAGUUUGAUCAUGGCUCAGGACGAACGCUGGCGGCGUGCCUAAUACAUGCAAGUCGAACGCUUCUUUUUCCACCGGAGCUUGCUCCACCGGAAAAAGAGGAGUGGCGAACGGGUGAGUAACACGUGGGUAACCUGCCCAUCAGAAGGGGAUAACACUUGGAAACAGGUGCUAAUACCGUAUAACAAUCGAAACCGCAUGGUUUUGGUUUGAAAGGCGCUUUCGGGUGUCGCUGAUGGAUGGACCCGCGGUGCAUUAGCUAGUUGGUGAGGUAACGGCUCACCAAGGCCACGAUGCAUAGCCGACCUGAGAGGGUGAUCGGCCACAUUGGGACUGAGACACGGCCCAAACUCCUACGGGAGGCAGCAGUAGGGAAUCUUCGGCAAUGGACGAAAGUCUGACCGAGCAACGCCGCGUGAGUGAAGAAGGUUUUCGGAUCGUAAAACUCUGUUGUUAGAGAAGAACAAGGAUGAGAGUAACUGUUCAUCCCUUGACGGUAUCUAACCAGAAAGCCACGGCUAACUACGUGCCAGCAGCCGCGGUAAUACGUAGGUGGCAAGCGUUGUCCGGAUUUAUUGGGCGUAAAGCGAGCGCAGGCGGUUUCUUAAGUCUGAUGUGAAAGCCCCCGGCUCAACCGGGGAGGGUCAUUGGAAACUGGGAGACUUGAGUGCAGAAGAGGAGAGUGGAAUUCCAUGUGUAGCGGUGAAAUGCGUAGAGAUAUGGAGGAACACCAGUGGCGAAGGCGGCUCUCUGGUCUGUAACUGACGCUGAGGCUCGAAAGCGUGGGGAGCAAACAGGAUUAGAUACCCUGGUAGUCC
Molecule: ribosomal RNA, 817 nt
Filed under: uncultured bacterium
Lineage: Bacteria
Description: bacterial SSU rRNA
Rfam family: Bacterial small subunit ribosomal RNA
Source: RNAcentral